This 1561-nucleotide long non-coding RNA is filed under the name Patiria miniata (bat star). Its description in RNAcentral is "uncharacterized LOC119725943". The record is from RNAcentral. Lineage: Eukaryota; Metazoa; Echinodermata; Asteroidea; Valvatida; Asterinidae.
UUAAUUAUGUUAAACCAUGUUCAUGUAGAACUACCCGACCAUAUUGUGAUCCCUCCAAAAUUAAUCUUCGUAGGUCAACCUGCGAUUUGCUUGCGCCGCAAAGACAUCAAGCAGAAAAUUCAUGCUCAGGUCACAAAACAGAGAAAUCUUGCGAUAAUUGUGGAAACGGCAUCUGUGAAUUGUGACAAACGUGGGAUCAUACCACAAGAAGUAAAAAGUUAUUCAGAUAACUUUCUGGAAAGGAGGACUUUGAACAAAACCCUUGCUUUGGGUAAAAAAAUAUGAGGCAGCAACUGUGUACACCACCAUCUUCUGCUUAAAACAAUUGUUUAACGUGGUCAGAAAUUGCCUCAGAUCGCACCACAGAUCAAGCAUGUAGAAUCUUAACAUUUUUCCGGGGGCCCUAAUUAAGCAGGCCCUGAACCCCGUAAUUAACCCUUUUUUUGGUCCCCUUAAAAUUGUGUUCUGGAUCCUCCCUUGAUUCACGAUAGACUGUGCCAUUGAUUUUACUACAGAGUAUUGGAUUUUUGAGGAUUUGAGAGGCAUGGAGUGUUACAUUUGGUUUAAAGUAUAUACGAAAAUAAGUUAAGAACACAAGUGUGUGGUUUUUGUUAGGCUGCAUGGUUUGUGGUGACGACAGAUUUUAAGUGCAAGUAUAGUUUUAGGGGUUACAUGAAAUUUGUAUUUAUAGGAACACAUUUUGUGCAGCUUUCUUCUCUUAAAAAGUAUAAAGAUAUUUGACACCCCUUUUUGGAUUAUUUUAAUGAAAAAAAAAAUUCUUUAUAAACAUUCUAAAUUUUCCUAUGCCUACUCCGGACAACUGAGGGCGCUGUUGCCGUGAUGCCAUUUCAGGAAGACUAGUGUUCAAUUUUAGGUGUUUUCUGUUCAAAUUGUGAACCCGAAAAGUUUACUCAAUUGGCUUGCUCUCAUGUAAUGACACAAGGAAUCACUAAAGAAAUGAAAUUUUUUGACAGCGAAAUAUCCAAGAUUCUGAAAACUUUUAGUGCUGAAAGUAGUUGGAUCAUUGAGGUUUCUGCCUGAAAUGACGUCACACUUUUUCUCAUGAAUAUGGAGAUUUUCAUUAGCAUAAAAAAACAGAAACGUACCGAAAUACCUUUGAAAAAGGCCAAACGGAAUUUAAAGAAAAGGUAUAAUUAUGGGGCACAAAUGUGCAUUUUAAGGAUUACAUUAACAGAAUAUACAUUGCAUGCCCUUUAAGAGAAAUGUGAAUACUUAAAGUACUUCACACAGUAGGAAGACGACCAGUGCUCAAACCUUCGCUCUCUUUCAUGAAAAAAGGGUCUACUUGUCUUUUGAAAAAGCAUUAUUAAAAAUAGUAUUCAAAUAUUCAAUCAUCCACCAAUGAUCCGAAUAGCAUUAUCAUGUUCAAUUCAAAUAUUCAAAAAUAUACGUAAGGUCUUCAGGAGAUUGUGAAAAAUGUCCAUGUUAUUUUAAUGUUUAUUGUUUUAUUUUAUGAUUUUAGGAAAUUAAGUUUAAGGUCCAUGUUGCCUGGUUUGUGUUCUGUUUACAAUAAACACAAAUAAAAAUGAAAUGUUGUGAU